Molecule: long non-coding RNA, 951 nt
Filed under: Amborella trichopoda
Lineage: Eukaryota; Viridiplantae; Streptophyta; Magnoliopsida; Amborellales; Amborellaceae
Description: long non-coding RNA (ATRI_LNC001058)
Source: RNAcentral
UUUCUAUAUACAUUGAAGUAUAUAACCAUAUGUUCACUUAUUAUCAAUUUAUACAGUUAUUAACGUAUAUGUCCAUUGAUUUAUAUACCACACACACACACUCACACAAUCGUUAAACACUCACUCACACACAAACACACACUCACACUCACAUUCACAGAUAUAUAUACUACACAUAUGUGCGUGUUAUGUAUGGCUUGAUGUCUGUAUAUAUACGAUAUAUAUAUACUCAUAUGUUUAUGCAUGUAUGUACACAGUUGCUUGCUAUCAGUCAUAUACAAUUAUCAAUGUAUAUAUACACUGCGAUCCCCACGCACAUUGAUACGUACAUGUAUAUUAUCUGAUGUGUAUAAAAUACGUGUAUUAAUUAGUGUAUACAUACACAAUAUAUAUGCACUUAUCAACUUGUUAGGGUGCAUGUGCAUACCCAUAUCAGUGUAUAUAUAUACAUUGAUAAUUGUAUAUAACUGAUAGCAAGCUACUAUAUAAACAAAUAAUAAGUGUAUAUAUAUGGUCAUAAACAUUAAUGUAUAUAGAAAUGUAUAUAUUAAUACACUGUAUAUAUAUAAAUAUGCACUUUACACAAACACACAUACGUUAUCUAUACAAACAUCACACACACACGUAUCAAUGUAGUUUUUAUUCGAGAGACCAUGAUGUCCAGUUUUUGGGUGCUGGAUUGGGUGCAUCGGUUAGACCGAGGAUUAUUUACCAGCGAACAGGUGGUCCUCGGGAGGGGCACCCUUUCUCUAGAUAUGGAUACCUGGUUCUGAAAGGGGCUAUAUUGUGUGUAUUCGAACUUUGAAAACCCUCAUUAGUGCUUCUCUUUUUUCCUCAUGGGUGGCCUUAAAUGAAAAAGAGGGUAUAUAUCACUGAUUAUCAGUUUAUACAAUUAAUAAUGUAUAUGUAUAUGGAUUUAUAUACUACAUACACAAACACACACACACGCAC